UACGUAGGGUGCAAGCGUUGUCCGGAAUUAUUGGGCGUAAAGAGCGUGUAGGCGGCCCCGUUAGUCCGCUGUGAAAGUCCAGGGCUCAACCCUGGAAUGCCGGUGGAUACUGCGGGGCUAGAGUCUGGAAGGGGCGAGUGGAAUUCCUGGUGUAGCGGUGAAAUGCGCAGAUAUCAAGAGGAACACCUGAGGUGAAGACGGGUUGCUGGGCUGACACUGACGCUGAGGCGCGAAAGCCAGGGGAGCAAACGGG
RNAcentral lists this ribosomal RNA (253 nucleotides) under uncultured bacterium. RNAcentral's name for it is "partial 16S ribosomal RNA". It matches the Rfam family "Bacterial small subunit ribosomal RNA", at positions 524 to 776 of the family's 1533-position model. The record is from RNAcentral.